Molecule: ribosomal RNA, 936 nt
Filed under: Triticum aestivum (bread wheat)
Lineage: Eukaryota; Viridiplantae; Streptophyta; Magnoliopsida; Poales; Poaceae
Description: partial small subunit ribosomal RNA
Source: RNAcentral
AUGGAUCCAUUCCCCGUCUUUGGCCGCGAGAGAUCCCCGUCGUCGCCGGACUACCCGCCCCGCCCGGGGUCGCCGGAGUACGUGCCGUCAUGCCAUCAGUGGCGUGCGGGGUCGCUUGACCUCGCGCCGUUGACUUCCCCGUGGCGCGCCGAGUCCCCGGAGUACGUCCCGUCGACUCCCUGGUGGCGCGGGCGCGUGACGGUCACGGGCAGACACCACGCCAGGUCAUCGGCGGGUGGGCGGCAGAGCUCGUCCUCGUCGUCGCCGGAUUACUUCCCGUCCACCUCGCCGUGCCGCGUGGCAUCUCCGGAGUAUAUGCCGUCGGCUCACCACUGGAGGCGCGCGGCGUCACCAGAGUACGCGCCGUCGACCUCCCCGUGGCGCGCUGAGUCCCCGGAGUACGUCCCGUCGACUCCCUGGUGGCGCGGGCGCGCGGCGGGCAGCCAGCGCACCCGGUUGUCGGCGCCUGGGCGGCAGAGCUCGUCGUCGCCGGAUUACUCCCCUUCUACCUCGCCGUGCCGCGUGGCGUCGCCGGAGCAUAUGCCGUUGGCUGACCACUGGAGGCGCGCGCUGGCGGUGUUCCCCGCCGACGACACCCCGUCGACACCUCUGGAGCAGCGACCUUCGUCGUCGGACCCCGCCACAUCGACACCUCUGCGGCGCUCGCCGUCACCGGAUUACUCCCCGUCGGCCUCAUCGUGGCGCGCGGCCUCACCGGAGUACGUGCCGACUGCUCCGUGGAGGCGCGCGGCGUCCCCGCAGCACACGCCCCCGACGCGUCCCCAGAGGGCGGCGACAUAUCCCGACCGCGUCCCCUGCGCGUCUCCUCCGUCGCCGCCUGACGCUGGGUCGCGCACGUCGUCGCGGUCCCGCUGCUAUCAUCCGUACCAGAGGAGCGGCGUCGGGACGUGCACGUGCUCCGCGCGCCGGAGCUGA